Carcharodon carcharias (great white shark) is the source of this 144-nucleotide small nuclear RNA. RefSeq annotates it as U4 spliceosomal RNA. Lineage: Eukaryota; Metazoa; Chordata; Chondrichthyes; Lamniformes; Lamnidae. The transcript has a single exon. The record is from RefSeq and is a predicted model, not a curated record.
AUCUUUUAUGAAUAAAGUAUAUUAUUGCAAAAAAAAGUUUAAACUGAGGCGCGAUUAUUGCUUAAUGAAAACUUUUCCCAGUACCCCGCUAUGGUGACUUGCAACACAGUCACUAUUAGCAAUUUUUGGUCAUCUCUUCGGAGA